ACUGGGGUGGCAGAGCUCGGUAAAUUGCAGAAGGCCUAAACCCUUCGUCCAGGGGUUCAAAUCCUCUUCCCAAUU
RNAcentral lists this transfer RNA (75 nucleotides) under Rexea nakamurai (Nakamura's escolar). Its description in RNAcentral is "tRNA-Leu". It matches the Rfam family "tRNA". From Rfam's summary of the family: Transfer RNA (tRNA) molecules are approximately 80 nucleotides in length. Lineage: Eukaryota; Metazoa; Chordata; Actinopteri; Scombriformes; Gempylidae. The record is from RNAcentral.